AAGCGGCAACAGCUCAAAUUUGAAAUCUGGCGCAAGCCCGAGUUGUAAUUUGUAGAGGAUGCUUCUGGGUAGCGACCGGUCUAAGUUCCUUGGAACAGGACGUCAUAGAGGGUGAGAAUCCCGUAUGUGACCGGCCCGCACCCUCCACGUAGCUCCUUCGACGAGUCGAGUUGUUUGGGAAUGCAGCUCUAAAUGGGAGGUAAAUUUCUUCUAAAGCUAAAUACCGGCCAGAGACCGAUAGCGCACAAGUAGAGUGAUCGAAAGAUGAAAAGUACUUUGGAAAGAGAGUUAAAAAGCACGUGAAAUUGUUGAAAGGGAAGCGCCUGCAAUCAGACUUCGCGGCAGUGUUCCGCCGGUCUUCUGACCGGUCUAUUCUCUGUCGCGAGGCCAUCAUCGUCUCGGCCCGCUGGAUAAGACCUUGGGAAUGUAGCUCGCCUUCGGGAGAGUGUUAUAGCUCAUGGUGAUGCAGCGAGGCUGGGGCGAGGUCCGCGCUUCGGCAAGGAUGAUGGCGUAAUGGUUGUCGGCGGCCCGUCUUGAAACACGGACCAAGGAGUCUAACAUCUAUGCGAGUGUUCGGGUGUCAAACCCCUACGCGUAAUGAAAGUGAACGGAGGUGGGAACCGCAAGGUGCACCAUCGACCGAUCCUGAUGUCCUCGGAUGGAUUUGAGUAAGAGCAUAGCUGUUGGGACCCGAAAGAUGGUGAACUAUGCCUGAAUAGGGUGAAGCCAGAGGAAACUCUGGUGGA
RNAcentral lists this ribosomal RNA (746 nucleotides) under Sphaerulina betulae. Its description in RNAcentral is "eukaryotic LSU rRNA". It matches the Rfam family "Eukaryotic large subunit ribosomal RNA", at positions 96 to 871 of the family's 3401-position model. The record is from RNAcentral. Lineage: Eukaryota; Fungi; Ascomycota; Dothideomycetes; Mycosphaerellales; Mycosphaerellaceae.